AAAGUCGUAACAAGGUCUCCGUUGGUGAACCAGCGGAGGGAUCAUUACAGAGUUGAAAGACUCCCAAACCACUGUGAACAUACCCGAGCGUUGCCUCGGCGGGCGGCCCCAGGGCGGGGCCGCAACCUCCCGCAGGGAGGUGCCCGCCGCAGGCCCAUACAAACCAUAUUGAAACCUAGUGGCCUCUCUGAGUUGAUUACCAAUAAUCAAAACUUUCAACAACGGAUCUCUUGGCUCUG
Molecule: unclassified non-coding RNA, 239 nt
Filed under: Ascomycota sp.
Lineage: Eukaryota; Fungi; Ascomycota
Description: partial contains small subunit ribosomal RNA, internal transcribed spacer 1, and 5.8S ribosomal RNA
Rfam family: Eukaryotic small subunit ribosomal RNA (bases 1-47)
Source: RNAcentral